UGGGGAAUUUUGGACAAUGGGCGAAAGCCUGGUCCAGCGACGCCGCGUGAGGGACGAAGCCCUUCGGGGUGUAAACCUCUGUUGUGAGGGACGAAUAAGAUCUGGAGGAAAUGCCAGAUCGAUGACGGUACCUCACGAGAAAGCCCCGGCUAACUACGUGCCAGCAGCCGCGGUAAUACGUAGGGGGCGAGCGUUACCCGGAUUCACUGGGCGUAAAGGGGGCGCAGGCGAUCCAGUAUGUCGGGUGUGAAAUCCCACAGCUCAACUGUGGAAUUGCGCCCGAAACUACUGGGUUUGGGGCUGGUAGAGGGAGACGGAACUGCUGGUGUAGGGGUGAAAUCCGUAGAUAUCAGCAGGAACGCCGGUGGGGAAGCCGGUCUCCUGGGCCAAGCCCGACGCUGAGGCCCGAAAGCUAGGGGAGCAAACC
RNAcentral lists this ribosomal RNA (427 nucleotides) under Thermotoga sp. enrichment culture. RNAcentral's name for it is "bacterial SSU rRNA". It matches the Rfam family "Bacterial small subunit ribosomal RNA", at positions 355 to 774 of the family's 1533-position model. Lineage: Bacteria; Thermotogati; Thermotogota; Thermotogae; Thermotogales; Thermotogaceae. The record is from RNAcentral.